Molecule: small nuclear RNA, 156 nt
Filed under: Peromyscus maniculatus bairdii (prairie deer mouse)
Lineage: Eukaryota; Metazoa; Chordata; Mammalia; Rodentia; Cricetidae
Description: U1 spliceosomal RNA (ENSPEMG00000003639.2)
Rfam family: U1 spliceosomal RNA
About the family: U1 is a small nuclear RNA (snRNA) component of the spliceosome (involved in pre-mRNA splicing). Its 5' end forms complementary base pairs with the 5' splice junction, thus defining the 5' donor site of an intron.
Source: RNAcentral
AUACUCACCUGCAGGGCAGGUGCCGUGAUCGCGAAGGUGGUGUCCCAGGGCAAGGCUUCUCCACUGCACUCCAGAUGUGCAGACUCCUGCGAUUUCCCCAGUUUGGGAAACUCGACUGCACAAUUUGUGGGGUGGGGACUUGUUCAAGUUCUCCCC